CUUCAUAAAUCGGCCAAAUCUAUCAUUCAGAGCGCUGCCACGGUGGAGGGGAGACGUGAUUAGCUCCCAAUCCUUGCUUAAUCCUGUGGUGGCUAGGAGUGGCUGAACGAUGGACUGUCACGGCACUCCUUUGUUUGGACAUCUCGCGCCACCACCUCCGAACCAUGCAGCAGGCGUCCAAAACGGUCAUACACUGCCAAGGUCUACAAAAGGAGGAGAUCAAAGGAAACUUGGCAUUAAAACUAAUCAAAAACUGAUACCCAUUUAUCAACCAGCCCAAAGGGGAAGAUUAACAGCUGGGUGGGCUGGGCACCAACUACCUGGACCAGGAUUGAACCUGGACCUGCAGAUUCACGGCUAAGUGUGCUAACCACAGAAGUUUGCAUAUAUAAAAUCUACUAUGGGUUUCAGAGACAGUGUUCCCUCAUUUUUUGGAAAUAAUUCUGUAACAAAAUGUUGAAUUAGGUUCAUAUUCUGUCAAAGAUCGUUUCAAAUCUCUUGCUAAUUUUUGUCACCAUUUAUUAACAAAAAUAAAUAAUUAAGGCACUUCCCUUCAAUACGUAACAAAAUUCAGAGUCGAGGAGCUGCCCUCCAGCACGAACAAAUCGUGACGUUGCUGCACCCCAUAGUUACCUUCCAUCUCUCUGAUAGACAAUACCACAGCUCCUGCCACUGUCAGCAUUACUGUAUUUAUCCAGUGUAAUCAAGAUACCAUAAGGAUAUUUAGGAAAAGUGAGCCUACCAUUGUGUACACAAGACAUUGUUGCAUAUCAUGAACCUAAACAUUAGAUCAAUCAAUCAAU
Molecule: long non-coding RNA, 803 nt
Organism: Eriocheir sinensis (Chinese mitten crab)
Lineage: Eukaryota; Metazoa; Arthropoda; Malacostraca; Decapoda; Varunidae
Exons: 3
Source: RefSeq, a predicted model, not a curated record